GCCGAUGUAGCUCAGUUGGUAGAGCAGCUGAUUUGUAAUCAGCAGGUCGUGGGUUCGAAUCCAAUCAUCGGCU
RNAcentral lists this transfer RNA (73 nucleotides) under Bacteroidia bacterium. It matches the Rfam family "tRNA". Rfam says of the family: Transfer RNA (tRNA) molecules are approximately 80 nucleotides in length. Lineage: Bacteria; Pseudomonadati; Bacteroidota; Bacteroidia. The record is from Rfam by way of RNAcentral.